CCUACGGGAGGCAGCAGUGAGGAAUAUUGGUCAAUGGGCGUAAGCCUGAACCAGCCAAGUCGCGUGAGGGAUGAAGGUUCUAUGGAUCGUAAACCUCUUUUAUAAGGGAAUAAAGUGCGGGACGUGUCCCGUUUUGUAUGUACCUUAUGAAUAAGGAUCGGCUAACUCCGUUCCAGCCGCCGCGGUAAUACGGAGGAUCCGAGCGUUAUCCGGAUUUAUUGGGUUUAAGGGGUGCGUAGGCGGCCUUUUAAGUCAGCGGUGAAAGUCUGUGGCUCAACCAUAGAAUUGCCGUUGAAACUGGGAGUCUUGAGUAUGUUUGAGGCAGGCGGAAUGCGUGGUGUAGCGGUGAAAUGCUUAGAUAUCACGAAGAACCCCGAUUGCGAAGGCAGCCUGCCAAGCCAUGACUGACGCUGAUGCACGAAAGCGUGGGGAUCAAACAGGAUUAGAUACCCCAGUAGUC
RNAcentral lists this ribosomal RNA (460 nucleotides) under uncultured bacterium. RNAcentral describes it as "partial 16S ribosomal RNA". It matches the Rfam family "Bacterial small subunit ribosomal RNA", at positions 338 to 795 of the family's 1533-position model. The record is from RNAcentral.